GCUUGUCUCAAAGAUUAAGCCAUGCAUGUCUAAGUAUAAACAAAUUUAUAGUGAAACUGCGAAUGGCUCAUUAUAUCAGUUAUAGUUUAUUUGGCGAUAAAAACUACUUGGAUAACCGUAGUAAUUCUAGAGCUAAUACAUGCAUCAUCCCCCAUCUCGGGGUGUAUUUAUUAGAUGGAAACCAAUUCGGGGAAACCCGGCUCAUGGUGAUUCAUAAUAACUUUCGGAUCGACCUUUCGGUCGAUGCAUCAUUCAAGUUUCUGCCCUAUCAGUUUUGGAUGGUAGGGUAUUGGCCUACCAUGACUUUAACGGGUAACGGAGAAUUAGGGUUCGAUUCCGGAGAGGGAGCCUGAGAAAUGGCUACCACAUCCAAGGAA
RNAcentral lists this ribosomal RNA (377 nucleotides) under Epipyxis pulchra. RNAcentral's name for it is "partial small subunit ribosomal RNA". It matches the Rfam family "Eukaryotic small subunit ribosomal RNA", at positions 30 to 423 of the family's 1831-position model. The record is from RNAcentral. Lineage: Eukaryota; Chrysophyceae; Chromulinales; Dinobryaceae.